GGGUCCUUAGCUCAGUCAGGCUAGAGCACCGGACUUUUAAUCCGGGGGUCGCGGGUUCAAUUCCCGUAGGACCCGCCA
Molecule: transfer RNA, 78 nt
Filed under: Nitrososphaerota archaeon
Lineage: Archaea; Thermoproteati; Nitrososphaerota
Also listed under: 2 other names
Description: tRNA-Lys
Rfam family: tRNA
About the family: Transfer RNA (tRNA) molecules are approximately 80 nucleotides in length. Their secondary structure includes four short double-helical elements and three loops (D, anti-codon, and T loops).
Source: RNAcentral